Molecule: long non-coding RNA, 1443 nt
Filed under: Oncorhynchus mykiss (rainbow trout)
Lineage: Eukaryota; Metazoa; Chordata; Actinopteri; Salmoniformes; Salmonidae
Description: lncRNA (ENSOMYG00000075626.1)
Source: RNAcentral
AUGGAAGUGAAUCUUUCUGAUCUUUACAUUUCUCUCCCCUCUCUCAAUCUUUACAUUUCUCUCCCCUCUCUCAAUCUUUACAUUUCUCUCCCCUCUCUCAAUCUUUACAUUUCUCUCCCCUCUCUCAAUCUUUACAUUUCUCUCCCCUCUCUAUCUUUACAUUUCUCUCCACUCUCUAUAUCUUUCUAUCUUUACAUUUCUUUCCCCUCACUCAAUCUUUCUAUCUUUACAUUUCUCUCCCCUCUCUCAAUCUUUCAAUCUUUACAUUUCUCUCCCCUCUCUCAAUCUUUACAUUUUCUUCCCCUCUCUCAAUCUUUACAUUUCUCUCCCCUCUCUCAAUCUUUACAUUUCUCUCCCCUCUCUCAAUCUUUACAUUUAUCUCCCCUCUCUCAAUCUUUACAUUUUCUUCCCCUCUCUCAAUCUUUACAUUUCUCUCCCCUCUCUCAAUCUUUACAUUUCUCUCCCCUCUCUCAAUCUUUACAUUUCUCUCCCCUCUCUCAAUCUUUACAUUUCUCUCCCCUCUCUCAAUCUUUACAUUUCUCUCCCCUUUCUCAAUCUUUACAUUUCUCUCCCCUCUCUCAAUCUUUCAAUCUUUACAUUUCUCUCCCCUCUCUCAAUCUUUACAUUUCUCUCCCCUCUCUCAAUCUUUACAUUUCUCUCCCCUCUCUCAAUCUUUACAUUUCUUCCCCCUCUCUCAAUCUCUCAAUCUUUACAUUUCUUCCCCCUCUCUCAAUCUUUACAUUUGUUUCCCCUCUCUCAAUCUUUAUAUUUCUCUCCCCUCUCUCAAUCUUUCAAUCUUUACUUUUCUUUCCCCUCUCUCAAUCUUUACAUUUUCUUCCCCUCUCUCAAUCUUUACAUUUUCUUCCCCUCUCUCAAUCUUUACAUUUCUCUCCCCUCUCUCAAUCUUUCAAUCUUUACAUGUCUUCCCCCUCUCUCAAUCUUUACAUUUCUUUCCCCUCUCUCAAUCUUUACAUUUCUUUCCCCUCUCUCAAUCUUUCAAUCUUUACAUUUCUCUCCCCUCUCUCAAUCUUUCAAUCUUUACAUUUCUAUCCCCUCUCUCAAUCUUUACAUUUCUCUCCCCUCUCUCAAUCUUUACAUUUCUCUCCCCUCUCUCAAUCUUUACAUUUCUCUCCCCUCUCUCAAUCUUUACAUUUAUCUCCCCUCUCUCAAUCUCUCAAUCUUUACAUUUCUUUCCUCUCUCUCAAUCUUUACAUUUCUCUCCCCUCUCUCAAUCUUUACAUUUCUUUCCCCUCUCUCAAUCUUUACAUUUCUUUCGCCUCUCUCAAUCUUUACAUUUCUUUCCCCUCUCUCAAUCUUUACAUUUAUUUUCCCUCUCUCAAUCUUUACAUUUCUUUUCCCUCUCUCACUCUUUACUUCUCUCUCCAGUGCAUUCAGAAAGUAUUCAGACCACAUUAUCCUCGUUUUGUUACAUUACAGCCUUAG